RNAcentral lists this non-coding RNA (29 nucleotides) under Homo sapiens (human). The record is from RNAcentral. Lineage: Eukaryota; Metazoa; Chordata; Mammalia; Primates; Hominidae.
UCCCAGAGUGAGCGGAGACAGCGGUUGCA